RNAcentral lists this ribosomal RNA (253 nucleotides) under uncultured bacterium. RNAcentral's name for it is "partial 16S ribosomal RNA". It matches the Rfam family "Bacterial small subunit ribosomal RNA", at positions 524 to 776 of the family's 1533-position model. The record is from RNAcentral.
UACGUAGGGGGCUAGCGUUGUCCGGAAUCAUUGGGCGUAAAGCGCGUGUAGGCGGUCCGGUAAGUCCGCUGUGAAAGUCGGGGGCUCAACCCUCGGAUGCCGGUGGAUACUGUCGGGCUGGAGUACGGAAGAGGCGAGUGGAAUUCCUGGUGUAGCGGUGAAAUGCGCAGAUAUCAGGAGGAACACCAAUUGCGAAGGCAGCUCGCUGGGACGUUACUGACGCUGAGGCGCGAAAGCGUGGGGAGCAAACAGG